Molecule: long non-coding RNA, 583 nt
Organism: Corythoichthys intestinalis (scribbled pipefish)
Lineage: Eukaryota; Metazoa; Chordata; Actinopteri; Syngnathiformes; Syngnathidae
Exons: 6
Source: RefSeq, a predicted model, not a curated record
GUUGUCCAAACUGCAUGCCGAGGUGCAGCGCUUUUCCUGUGCCUAACCUCUUGUUGUGACUUGCCCUGUGAAGAAAAACACUGCCAUAUGCCGGGGAGUGUUCUGCGAACGAUACGACGCCAUCAGAGAGUGGCGCCUGACAGUUUGAUUUGACAGCCCUCUUCAAACCAAAUAUACUCCUUGUUCCUGACACUGCAUCAGCCUGACAAGAGAUUCUAGACACGGGAACGUUCAACUCAACAAAUGUCAUCCUCAGCUUCAUAUGCCACAAGAUGGCGGCAAAGGAGUGCUAUUCUAAAUGAAGCGUCUAAACUCACUCCAACCAGUUCCUUGGAAACAAGACACAACUAGAUCAAGCAGAGAUUUACGAAACGGGACACUCGCAAGUCGAGGUAACCGCCGAGCCAAAGCAGAACUACGACGCGUGACCUCCCAUGGCUUGAAUAAUCUACUUGAAGACACGCGUGCUCUUCCUCUGCUGUGGGAUAAAGUGCAGUUCCUGUUUUCUCUGCGACCAUCUGUAAGGGGAAAACUCGCCCAAGGUAAAAACGAUGACUGCAACUUGGCACAAGAUGAAACGGGC